Molecule: ribosomal RNA, 443 nt
Filed under: uncultured bacterium
Lineage: Bacteria
Description: partial 16S ribosomal RNA
Rfam family: Bacterial small subunit ribosomal RNA
Source: RNAcentral
CCUACGGGUGGCAGCAGUCGAGAAUCAUUCACAAUGGGGGAAACCCUGAUGGUGCGACGCCGCGUGGGGGAAUGAAGGUCUUCGGAUUGUAAACCCCUGUCAUGUGGGAGCAAAUUAAAAAGAUAGUACCACAAGAGGAAGAGACGGCUAACUCUGUGCCAGCAGCCGCGGUAAUACAGAGGUCUCAAGCGUUGUUCGGAAUCACUGGGCGUAAAGCGUGCGUAGGCUGUUUCGUAAGUCGGGUGUGAAAGGCGCGGGCUCAACCCGCGGACGGCACAUGAUACUGCGAGACUAGAGUAAGGGAGGGGGAACCGGAAUUCUCGGUGUAGCAGUGAAAUGCGUAGAUAUCGAGAGGAACACUCGUGGCGAAGGCGGGUUCCUGGACAUUAACUGACGCUGAGGCACGAAGGCCAGGGGAGCGAAAGGGAUUAGAUACCCCAGUA